Molecule: ribosomal RNA, 253 nt
Filed under: uncultured bacterium
Lineage: Bacteria
Description: partial 16S ribosomal RNA
Rfam family: Bacterial small subunit ribosomal RNA
Source: RNAcentral
UACGGAGGGUGCAAGCGUUGUCCGGAUUUAUUGGGUUUAAAGGGUGCGUAGGCGGCCCGUUAAGUCAGUGGUGAAAGCCUCCAGCUCAACUGGAGAACUGCCAUUGAUACUGGCGGGCUUGAGUACAGACGAGGUAGGCGGAAUUGAUUGUGUAGCGGUGAAAUGCAUAGAUACAAUCAAGAACACCGAUUGCGUAGGCAGCUUACUAGGCUGUAACUGACGCUGAGGCACGAAAGCGUGGGGAGCGGACAGG